CCUACGGGUGGCUGCAGUGAGAAAUAUUGGUCAAUGGACGAGAGUCUGAACCAGCCAAGUAGCGUGAAGGAUGACUGCCCUAUGGGUUGUAAACUUCUUUUAUAAAGGAAUAAAACGAGGCACGUGUGCCUUUUUGCAUGUACUUUAUGAAUAAGGAUCGGCUAAAUCCGUGCCAGCAGCCGCGGUAAUACGGAGGAUCCGAGCGUUAUCCGGAUUUAUUGGGUUUAAAGGGAGCGUAGGUGGGUUUUUAAGUCCGUUGUGAAAGUUUGCGGCUCAACCGUGAAAUUGCAAUUGAUACUGGCAGUCUUGAGUGCAGUGGAGGUAGGCGGAAUGCGUGGUGUAGCGGUGAAAUGCUUAGAUAUCACGAAGAACCCCGAUUGCGAAGGCAGCUUACUAAAGUGUGACUGACGUUGAUGCUCGAAAGUGUGGGUAUCGAACAGGAUUAGAUACCCGAGUAGUC
RNAcentral lists this ribosomal RNA (460 nucleotides) under uncultured bacterium. RNAcentral describes it as "partial 16S ribosomal RNA". It matches the Rfam family "Bacterial small subunit ribosomal RNA", at positions 338 to 795 of the family's 1533-position model. The record is from RNAcentral.